This 91-nucleotide transfer RNA is filed under the name Saccharomyces cerevisiae (brewer's yeast). It matches the Rfam family "tRNA". From Rfam's summary of the family: Transfer RNA (tRNA) molecules are approximately 80 nucleotides in length. Their secondary structure includes four short double-helical elements and three loops (D, anti-codon, and T loops). The record is from RNAcentral. Lineage: Eukaryota; Fungi; Ascomycota; Saccharomycetes; Saccharomycetales; Saccharomycetaceae.
GCGGAUUUAGCUCAGUUGGGAGAGCGCCAGACUGAAGAAAAACUUCCGUCAAGUCAUCUGGAGGUCCUGUGUUCGAUCCACAGAAUUCGCA